RNAcentral lists this long non-coding RNA (631 nucleotides) under Capsicum annuum. RNAcentral describes it as "long non-coding RNA (CANN_LNC022175)". Lineage: Eukaryota; Viridiplantae; Streptophyta; Magnoliopsida; Solanales; Solanaceae. The record is from RNAcentral.
CAUAUGGUACUUAAUGUCACCAAAAGAAGUGAGUGAAAUAUGAUCUGGACCAAAAUAGUGUCAAACGCGACCAAUAUAGAGCCUCACAUGCAGUCAUGAUACACUCCAAACAGUGAAGAAUACGACCAAUUAACAGACCUACAAACUAAGCAAAAAAUAGUAAAACAUACAAGCUAAAGCUAUAGCAAUAAACAAGCAUUAAAUUAUCUAAAAACUGAACCACAAAGUUGUUCAUUACAGUAGGGAUUCCAUUUUGUAAUCCCAAAAAGUUGCAACAAAAUACAAGUUCAACAAUUUUCACAAAAUGAUAGAGCAUCCAUUAUCACCAUCAAAUAUUGAACAUUCCCUUGUCUUAAUACAAAACAUGGCAAUAUCAAAUUUUCAUUGUUGUGCCUUGCCAUUACCCUUUUUUGUCUUAAGUUGAUCCACUCUAAACCCCAACUGCUUUCAAGCUGAACAGGUGCGCUUUCAACCGGUUUAGUCCAAUCUUGCUCUGUCUGAAGCUUGUCCAUUCUGUCGAAGAUCCCAGGGCCUCGAAGCGUCAUCUCUGCAAGAAGAUGUCUGAAAAAUCUUGUUCGAGGAUUAGAUGGAGUAUUCAAAAUGAGACUUUUGACUAUUAAUUCACCNNNNN